GACGCGGUGGCACAAUGGUUAGCGCUCUUGCCUCAAAUGAAGGAGGUUGCGGGUUUGAGUCCUGGCCGGCCG
Molecule: transfer RNA, 72 nt
Filed under: Anguilla anguilla (European eel)
Lineage: Eukaryota; Metazoa; Chordata; Actinopteri; Anguilliformes; Anguillidae
Description: tRNA-OTHER
Source: RNAcentral